GAUGAACGCUGGCGGCGUGCCUAAUACAUGCAAGUCGAGCGAACGGACGAGAAGCUUGCUUCUUUGAUGUUAGCGGCGGACGGGUGAGUAACACGUGGAUAACCUACUUAUAUGACUGGGAUAACUUCGGGAAACCGGAGCUAAUACCAGAUGAUAUUUUGAACCGCAUGGUUCAAAAGUGAAAGACGGUCUUGCUGUCACUAAUAGAUGGAUCCGCGCUGCAUGAGCUAGUUGGUAAGGUAACGGCUUACCAAGGCAACGAUGCGUAGCCGACCUGAGAGGGUGAUCGGCCACACUGGAACUGAGACACGGUCCAGACUCCUACGGGAGGCAGCAGUAGGGAAUCUUCCGCAAUGGGCGAAAGCCUGACGGAGCAACGCCGCGUGAGUGAUGAAGGUCUUCGGAUCGUAAAACUCUGUUAUUAGGGAAGAACAGAUGUGUAAGUAACUGUGCACAUCUUGACGGUACCUAAUCAGAAAGCCACGGCUAACUACGUG
This 497-nucleotide ribosomal RNA is filed under the name uncultured bacterium. RNAcentral describes it as "partial 16S ribosomal RNA". It matches the Rfam family "Bacterial small subunit ribosomal RNA", at positions 28 to 507 of the family's 1533-position model. The record is from RNAcentral.